AACAGCAAGGCAGAACACCUAAGCUUGCAUUUGACAGGCAUGGAUUUCUGUGGACGAGGAGAGCCUGGCAUCUCCCAGGUUGCUGUGGUUGUCCACACCAUUAUUCCUGCCUCCCUCAGUCCCCUCCCUACUCGGCUCAGGCUCCCUGAAGGAGGUUGCAUGCAAAUGUCAGAACCACCAUUCAUCCCCAGGCCUGCGUUGUACCAAAGAU
Molecule: long non-coding RNA, 211 nt
Filed under: Homo sapiens (human)
Lineage: Eukaryota; Metazoa; Chordata; Mammalia; Primates; Hominidae
Description: HSALNT0097547
Source: RNAcentral